UACGUAGGGUGCGAGCGUUAUCCGGAAUUACUGGGUGUAAAGGGUGCGUAGGCGGCCAUGCAAGUCAGAUGUGAAAACUCAGGGCUCAACCUUGAGGCUGCAUCUGAAACUGCGUGGCUAGAGUGUGGGAGAGGAAAGUGGAAUUCCGAGUGUAGCGGUGAAAUGCGUAGAGAUUCGGAGGAACACCAGUAGCGAAGGCGGCUUUCUGGACCAUAACUGACGCUGAGGCACGAAAGCGUGGGGAGCAAAC
This 250-nucleotide ribosomal RNA is filed under the name uncultured Lachnospiraceae bacterium. RNAcentral describes it as "partial 16S ribosomal RNA". It matches the Rfam family "Bacterial small subunit ribosomal RNA", at positions 524 to 773 of the family's 1533-position model. The record is from RNAcentral. Lineage: Bacteria; Bacillati; Bacillota; Clostridia; Lachnospirales; Lachnospiraceae.